UACGUAGGGGGCUAGCGUUGUCCGGAAUCAUUGGGCGUAAAGAGCGCGUAGGCGGCUAGUUAAGUCCGGUGUGAAAGUCACAGGCUCAACCUGUGAAUGCCGCUGGAAACUGUCUGGCUAGAGUCCGGAAGGGGGGAGUGGAAUUCCUGGUGUAGCGGUGAAAUGCGCAGAUAUCAGGAGGAACACCAAUGGCGAAGGCAGCUCGCUGGGACGGUACUGACGCUGAGGCGCGAAAGCGUGGGGAGCAAACAGG
Molecule: ribosomal RNA, 253 nt
Filed under: uncultured bacterium
Lineage: Bacteria
Description: partial 16S ribosomal RNA
Rfam family: Bacterial small subunit ribosomal RNA
Source: RNAcentral